Molecule: long non-coding RNA, 4210 nt
Organism: Gallus gallus (chicken)
Lineage: Eukaryota; Metazoa; Chordata; Aves; Galliformes; Phasianidae
Source: Ensembl
UGUGAUUCUGGAUAAAAUCUUUGCACUUGAUGGUUCUGUUCUCUUAUUUUCAAAAACAGUAUUUAUUCUCCUUUGGAUGAUAAUGUUGUAUUUGAAGAGACACUGAAGCUGGCAAUGAGCAAUAUGCACAAUCUAGAUUUUACAGUUCCCUCUAUAUCUUGCCAAAACAAUUGCUGAUGAGAGGACAGGAAGCUAGGGUACAGUGGAAAAGACACAAACUCAUCUUUGUCAGAACCCAGGACUUCCAGAGCAGUAUCGCAGAAGUGUCCAAAUUGCUGAGAAACCACAGCGUGGAUAUACCCACUGAUUCUUCUGGCCAGAGAGGCAGCGUGGCCAACAGCUUUCACCCUCAGGGUCAAACAUGCAGGCUGCACUGGCAGUCGAUCCCCAAGCGACAAAGAAGUCCCCAUUCCUCACCUACCUGGUACAGACCGACAUAGACAUUAGUCCCAAGCAAAUGGCAAGGACUCCAUAGAAGAAGAAAAAUCAGCAUAAAAAGGAAAUACUGUUCACAUGAACAAGAAACUGAGAUUAUGGACCAAGCUAAUACCACCUGAACCUAUAAAAAUCCAAUAUAUUAACAGGCAUUCAGAGAACUUCUAUUACACAUAGCUGGACUACAGGUAUCCAGAGUGCCAAAUCAGGAGGGCAUCGUGAGGGAGACGAAAUGCUCAAGAGUCAGUGAGGGACUUGUUAUGGCUAUAAGAAAGCAUAGGCGUUUAAUAGUAUUUACUUAUCAGUUAAUAACAACUAAUUUACUUAAGUAGAACUAUGUUCUUGUCUACUUACACGGGUAAUCAAAGAAACAUGACAAGCAGCCACACAGCAUAGCCUAUACUUCUGUACUAAGCUGCCUAAUUCUUUAUAACAUCUAGACAUAUCCUCUUCACCUUCUCCCCAUGGUGAGUAUUCACUAGAACAAAAAAAGACAGAAGACAACAACUAGACUUCAAAGAAUGCAAAAUGGCUUUUAUUUUUCAUACAGCAUUUACUAUACAGCAUUUAUUCUUACAGCAUAGCUCUUCUUGAUAAAACAUGGUGUCAGUGCAGGAGUUUUAUGGGAGACUUGACAAAUUCUUGGAAGAAAUUCUCUGAAUAUUACAAUAAUGACAGAUUAUGAAGGUUUUAGAAAAUCCCCGAGACACAGAGUGGCAAAGAUACCUAGUGAAAUACAUGUAUGUGCUUGUUCUUGCACUUCUUUAGGCAUGCACUUCUAUGAACUGGGAAGAUGUAUCCUUGGUCUGAAACAGUUCAAAUGCUCUUAUCUACUUUAGUAUUUUGCCUUGCCUUUAUGCUAUUUCAUAAGAUACAUGGAUAAUUGUUCUGCACAGUACGGCUGAGAGGAAUGUGUUGUGGUACUUCUUAGAUAUGCCACAAAUGACAAAAUAUAUCUGAAAACUAUUUAGAAAUGUAAAAAAAAUAUGAAGCAGAUUUAACAAAAAAAGAAUGGACUUUGUUGUAUGAAAUACCAGAUGGAUUAAUUAUGACCUUGUUAGAAAUGGCCAAGCUCUGUAGUAUUCUUUAUUUCAGAAAAGCCCUGAAUCACAGAAUCAGAAUGGCUUGGGUUGGAAGGAACAUUAAAGGCCAUCUAGUUCCAAACCCCUGCCCUAGACAAGGUUGCCACUCACUAGAUCAGGCUGCUCAUGGCCCCAUCCAACUUGGCCCUGAGCAUCUCCAGGGAUGGGGCAACCACAGCUUCUCUGAGCAGCCUGUGCCAACGCCUCAUCAUCCUCUGAGUGAAAACUUCUCUCCUGUUAGCUAAUCUAAAUCUCUGCUUUUUUAGUUUAAAACCACCACAGGUACUAUGAGGAAUGGCUAGCCCAGGAUGCUGUUGGUAUGGGCUGCGAGAACACACCGCUGGUUCACACCAAGCUUUUCAUUCACUAAGACAUCCAAGUCCUUUUUCCCAAGGCUGCUCUCAGUGAAUUCUUCUCUGAGAAGAAGGGAGGGAUAGGAAUGUAAUUCUGCUGAAGAUCCAAAAGUGAUGUCAUUAAAAGCUAUAAUCAGAAAAAAAAAUGAUAGGAGUAGCAUCUUCUCUGUUAUUUUUCUCUACCUAAGAGAUUUCACUAUAAAUUCCUUCAUAUAGAAACAAUUAUUUGUAGAAUUGUUGAAGUUUUCAGUCUGAAAGCAAAAAGUGAGAUUUUUCAAAGUACAGGGGAUGUCUGUCUAAUCUUAUUUUAAUUCACUGUUGAAAAAUGUUAAUUAUUUUGAUUUUCACUUGUCUGUGUGCAAAGCCAUAAAAUUAUUUUGAGAAAUACAGUGUAUCUUGCUCUAAAUAAAAAUUACAAAGUUUUUUAGCACUACUUCUAAUGAAAAGAUUUUUUCAUAUUUUAAUUUGAAAGGUUGUUUAAUACUAUCAUUAGUUACAGUAGCCAAAUGAAGUGAUUUAGUGUUUCUACUGAUUAUCUAGAAAUAUGUAACUGUUGCUAAGGAAAAAUGACAUUUCUUCAAAUAUUAAGAUGAGAUGUGUACUUUGAUAAAGACCAAAAAUUCAAAUUCUGAAAUUUGAGAAAAAUCUACAUAUAUGUAUUUGCAAUGUUUUGAAGCAGAACUUCAGUCUCUGUUAGGCCCCAGUUGAGUAAUGCAGACAGCUCUGCAAACAAACUUCAUAGAUGAAAGGGUCAAAACAUUGAAGUGAUUCAACAAUUUCCCAGUAACAAAAGAAGCUAUGACCCUCCUGACAUAGCGAGUGAUGAUGUAUUUAGAGACUGAGAUGUUAAUAUAGAUUUAAAAAUUCUGCAAACACAUUAACUCAAGGGUAGCAACAAAUGUGUAUAUAUAUAUAUAUAUUACACUUAUGCCAAGGCCUGACUAGGUUUGAUAUGAUUUUUCAAUCAAAAAGUUCAAAGUUCCAUGAUUUAAGAACACAAACCAACAGCCAAGAGAUUUUAUCCUUCAACUUACUGACAGGUCACCCUGUUCACCUAGCAAAGCAAAUAUGCAUGCAAGCAACAACCUGACAUAAGAGAAAGGAUAAUACAAUAUCAAGUAUUAAAAUCCUCGAAACGAAAACUUUCUUUACCAGCAUGGAUAGGAUGAAAGUUGGUAAAGCAUUACCAUGGAAUUAGUCACAUCCUUCCAGCAAUGUUUUUUUUUUUUUUUUUUUUUCUUUUCUGAAAUUACUCAGUGUCCCCUCAGUCCUCCAUGUUGCUCACAAGAAAUUGAGAAGUCAAUGAAAGCACAAAUCCUCCAAGCUUUCAGUGCAUUACCACCUAAAUAAAAAAACUUUUAUUUGCUGGAUAGAUAGGGUGAGAGAUGUCUACUGAAAUACAGUUUGCCUUCAAAUGAACUAUAUAAGAUGACACUAUCUAUUUUUAUUAGACUUUUUAUGGUUGUAUCUCAGUGUUUCUGACUGACAAGGCUACUGUCAUAGAUAAGUGAAGGUAAGCACUUCAAUCACCCAGAGAUUCAAAGGUUGAAUAGCCAAACGGUGUCAUUACUGCUAUAGCAUUUCAGACUAGUUUCCCCAUAAAAAGAUCCAGUUCCAUCUGUAAAACUGCACCAUUCUACUAUUCAAAAUUAUUCUGUUGUAGACAUAAUGCUCUGUUGAUUCAGGUUUGAUUUUUACAUAUUUUCAGAUUUCCCAGUAAUUUUUUCUAGGCAAUUGUUAGAGCUAUGAUGGUUACACUGGGCCUCAGAAAUCAUAGUACAGCUAUUCAUGGGUUGAAAAUACUUCUGUUCAGUAUUUAAGGACAAUUUCAGUCUCUAGGGACAGCUGUAAUGGAGUAGUUGUAGGGUUUGUGAGGCAAAUAGGAGGUAGUUAUAGGGACUGGUAUGAGAAAUGUCAAUUGUGAAGCUGUGUAUAGAUAAUAGUAAGAUGAAGGGACAUGGAAGGGUGCAUAGAACUCAAUUAACUACGUGCCUUCCAUAGCUAACAGGCAAGCACUGCUGGCCAUAGACUGCAGGAGCUAUGCAAAGACACUUCACAAGCUAGCAAAGAGCUGCAGGUGGGGAUGUAUCAGGGCUACAAAGGAACACUGCACUACCCACUGGAUGUGCUGGAACUGUAUACGGCCAGAAAACGGCCUCAAUCUCCAUCUCGCCUGUCCCCUAAACACACAUCCCAACGCAGCAGAGGCGCGGGGUUGUUGGCAGGGUGGACUCAACCGCUCUGUUCUGCACUCACGACCGCCCCAGCCCCACCGGCUGCGCACAGCUCGAGGCCGGGACCGAGAUGAGGCGGAUGGAGGGAGACCGACGGGGCCCCAAG